CCAAACCAACAAGCUUGCUUGUUGGGGUUGUAGGACACUCUAUACGGAGUUACAAAAGAACAUGUUAGACGAAUCAUCUGGAAAGAUGAAUCAAAGAAGGUAAUAAUCCUGUAGUCGAAAACAUAUUCUCUCUUGAGUGGAUCCUGAGUACGACGGAGCACGUGAAAUUCCGUCGGAAUCUGGGAGGACCAUCUCCUAAGGCUAAAUACUCUCUAGUGACCGAUAGUGAACCAGUACCGUGAGGGAAAGGUGAAAAGUACCCCGGAAGGGGAGUGAAAGAGAACUUGAAACCGUGUGCUUACAAGUAGUCAGAGCCCGUUAAUGGGUGAUGGCGUGCCUUUUGUAGAAUGAACCGGCGAGUUACGAUCUGAUGCAAGGUUAAGCAGCAAAUGUGGAGCCGCAGCGAAAGCGAGUCUGAAUAGGGCGUUGAGUAUUUGGUCGUAGACCCGAAACCAGGUGAUCUACCCUUGGUCAGGUUGAAGUUCAGGUAACACUGAAUGGAGGACCGAACCGACUUACGUUGAAAAGUGAGCGGAUGAACUGAGGGUAGCGGAGAAAUUCCAAUCGAACUUGGAGAUAGCUGGUUCUCUCCGAAAUAGCUUUAGGGCUAGCCUCAAGUGAUGAUUAUUGGAGGUAGAGCACUGUUUGGACGAGGGGCCCCUCUCGGGUUACCGAAUUCAGACAAACUCCGAAUGCCAAUUAAUUUAACUUGGGAGUCAGAACAUGGGUGAUAAGGUCCGUGUUCGAAAGGGAAACAGCCCAGACCACCAGCUAAGGUCCCAAAAUAUAUGUUAAGUGGAAAAGGAUGUGGCGUUGCCCAGACAACUAGGAUGUUGGCUUAGAAGCAGCCAUCAUUUAAAGAGUGCGUAAUAGCUCACUAGUCGAGUGACACUGCGCCGAAAAUGUACCGGGGCUAAACAUAUUACCGAAGCUGUGGAUUGUCCUUUGGACAAUGGUAGGAGAGCGUUCUAAGGGCGUCGAAGCAUGAUCGCAAGGACAUGUGGAGCGCUUAGAAGUGAGAAUGCCGGUGUGAGUAGCGAAAGACGGGUGAGAAUCCCGUCCACCGAUUGACUAAGGUUUCCAGAGGAAGGCUCGUCCGCUCUGGGUUAGUCGGGUCCUAAGCUGAGGCCGACAGGCGUAGGCGAUGGAUAACAGGUUGAUAUUCCUGUACCACCUAGUAUCGUUUUAAUCGAUGGGGGGACGCAGUAGGAUAGGCGAAGCGUGCUGUUGGAGUGCACGUCCAAGCAGUAAGGCUGAGUGUUAGGCAAAUCCGGCACUCAUAAGGCUGAGCUGUGAUGGGGAGAGGAAAUUGUUUCCUCGAGUCGUUGAUUUCACACUGCCGAGAAAAGCCUCUAGAUAGAUAACAGGUGCCCGUACCGCAAACCGACACAGGUAGUCAAGAUGAGAAUUCUAAGGUGAGCGAGCGAACUCUCGUUAAGGAACUCGGCAAAAUGACCCCGUAACUUCGGGAGAAGGGGUGCUCUUUAGGGUUCACGCCCAGAAGAGCCGCAGUGAAUAGGCCCAAGCGACUGUUUAUCAAAAACACAGGUCUCUGCUAAACCGUAAGGUGAUGUAUAGGGGCUGACGCCUGCCCGGUGCUGGAAGGUUAAGAGGAGUGGUUAGCUUCUGCGAAGCUACGAAUCGAAGCCCCAGUAAACGGCGGCCGUAACUAUAACGGUCCUAAGGUAGCGAAAUUCCUUGU
Molecule: ribosomal RNA, 1702 nt
Filed under: Enterobacter cloacae
Lineage: Bacteria; Pseudomonadati; Pseudomonadota; Gammaproteobacteria; Enterobacterales; Enterobacteriaceae
Description: bacterial LSU rRNA
Rfam family: Bacterial large subunit ribosomal RNA
Source: RNAcentral